CUUCUGAGAAUGGAAGAGAGAGAGAAAAGGUUUUCUGGAAAAAAUCAAAAAGUGAGGUUUUGGGCCCCUGGGUUUUGCAGAUUCACAGUGGACAGUGAUGAGGUCUCACGGUGGUGAGAUGAAAAAAUGAAAGAGAACCGACAUAGCUUUUCGUGUCGAUUCCCAUAGAUGGCGCCAAAUGUUGAUGCACAAAACCGGAGGUCUUGGAACAACGUAAAUCCAAUCGUGAAUCUGCAAGAAAUGUAAAUAACACAAGAUGUAUCGUGGUUCACCCCAAGAUUUGGGCUACGUCCACACUGAUUAUGUAUUUAUCUGAGGGAGAGAGAGCUCUGAGAGUGAGAGCAUGGAGAGGGGGUCAGAGGGCCUAGGAAUUGGCUUUCUCUAAUUAUGAGGGUGAGGGGUCCUUUUAUAGAAUAAGGACUCCUCACUUAUUACAUAUUUGCCCCUUCCUUUAUUACAUAAUUACAUUUAAGUCCCCCGAGUAUUUAUACGUGGUCUAAAUACGAGGCCCUAAAUAUGGUAUAAACAUAGGUAAUCUACUCAUAAUAGGAAUAUAAGAUACAUUCUCAUAUCUACUAGGAUUUACACAAUCACAUUCCUAAUCUAAUAUGAAUGCAACACUCCCCCUUGAGUAUGUUAAUACUCAAGUAAAUGGUGUAUCAGGUUUUCAGCGAUGAAGUAAGUACAAUUGAUGAAGUUGUCGGCACAAUGAGCGAAUGCAAUUCUCAAAUUAACGGAACAUGUAUAUUAUACCGUUGGUGAAAAUUACGCAACAUACAUAUAACGUUUAGCAAAAAUACGAGAAUAAAAUCACUUCCAAGUCGAAAUAGUUAAGAGAAGAAAGUAAGCAAAAUAAGGGCGUUAAGGUCUGCCAUGCAUCCUGGCCACUCUAUACUACACCGUGACCCUGCUCCAUAUAAAUUAUACAGCGGUGGGGCUUUCUAACUAAAUCUGCAACCACACUAAAAAAUAAAUAAAAAAACUAGUUACUUUAAUAAAUUACACUUGUUGUAGGCAUAAUUUACUGAACAAUUAUGGAGGCCAUAGAGAGAGAAAUAUGUGGCAAUAUUGAAGAGAAGAGAUAGAUGUGUAAUUGUGAGGUGUGUAUUAUUCCAACCCAUUGUGCCUUUAUUUAUAGUAGUAGGGAAGGUUAAUUCCUUACCCUUUAGGAUUACAACAUUUAAUAGGUAAUCUACUCCUAAUAGGAAUAUAAGAUACAUUCCCAUAUCUACUAGGAUUUACACAAUCACAUUCCUAAUCUAACAGGAAUGCAACACUCCCCCCUUGAAUAUGUAAAUACUCAAGUAAAUGGUGCAUCAGGUCUUCAGCGAUGAAAUAAGUACAGUUGAUAAAGUUGUCGGCACAAUGAGCGAAUGCAAGUCUCAAAUUAACGGAAGAAUGCAUAAAAAGUAAAACUCAUAAAACCUCGCUAUGGUCAAACCCAAGGUGGGAGAAAAACUCAUAGACUAAGGAGAAAAGUGAGAAGUUGCAUUAAGUCAAAACUAUACGUCUUUUGGACGAAAGUAGUAGAGCUCAUAAGGGUAUGAUCAAUCCUGGAUGGGUGCCUCGUUAAAACCUAGUUAGGUAGCAAAAAUCCAGUGGAAAAAAUGCUCCUAAUCAUAGGGAAAAAUAGUACAUUAAGAUCAAGUGAGUAUACUUCUGGAUACUCCCCCUGAGUUUGACAUAACUUCCAAAUGAGAACUACAAACAUUGCAUAUGAAUAGUUAGGCAUACCAAUUCCUUGGACAAGCUUCUGGAAGGUUGACUUCGACAGUGACGUCAUGUAGAGGUUGGCAAGGUUGUUUGGGAUCGGCUUGCAUGACUUCAAUCUCCUAAUGCUUUGAUGAUGUAGAUGUAAACAUAAUAUGUCUUGGUGUUGACUUGUAUCAUGGCUUGGUCUGGUGGAUACAUGAUGCAAAGUCUUUAUGGAUCGUCAUUGGGACUCAACGAUGGAUGAAAACAGCAAGUACUUCGAAUAUGCUAAACAAUAACUCCUAACCAUGUCUCAUUUAUGGCGUAGUAAAGUGAAGUAAGUCUUGGAACGAUUCGAAGAUUUCGUAACUAAGGUCAUAUCGUGGACCUCCAAGAUAUUGCGAUAUCCCUAAUGGUAAAGACAUAACCAUUUGAGGAUUUUGCCUUGUGCGGGUUUGAUAUGCAACAUGCGUCAGCAUAACAAAUAACCCGUGUAGUUCGACUAGUAAACCAAAAUACCAUCAGAACAAUGCUUCAACUUCAUGUCAAGGCAUAAACGAAUUUUUCCUAAGAUCUUUCAUCUCAAAUUCCAUCUUCAGGUGCAAGGCAGUUUUCUCAAGCUCUUCUAGAGUCUUAGCGAGAUUCGUGUCAAAGACAUAAACUGUAACUUUAGCAAUUCGGAGUAAGACUUCAUAGUUUAACAUGCAAGGGCAUAAUUGAUAUCCCUGACUGAUCAAAUAAUCACUUAGACGGGUAUACCACAUUUGUUGGAUUGUAAGUGAAUGCCUCAAACAAGUUAAGAGUGUGUUCCGUGGUUUUGGAACUAUUUGAACCAGUCCAUGUAAUUAUUCGGGAACUUACAUGUAAAUCUCCGUAUUUAUAUUCCUAUGGAGAAAACAUUAACCACAUUACAUAAUGCUCUUAUCAAUCACAGGACGUUUGAGAGAAACCUUGUGCCGUAAGGCGUGAAUCAUAUCGUACUAUUUCAUUCAUCUCAUAACGCUUCCUUUCCUACUUGUAACACAAUAGGGUUACCUUGGGCAGUGUAGGAAUGACAGGUCCAAUACACACUUUGGUAAGGAAUUUGACCUGGAUUGUAAUUUCAGUUGUCUAGUCAAUUUUACGUUGUCACUUAAUCAUAGGAACAUGGUUCGAUAUUGUUGCUUUUCAUUUAUGUCGGUAGCUACCAUAUAAGUGAAAACAUCAUCGAUGAUAAUCUCAUUUCAAUUCCAUUUAGCUCAUCCAAACUAGUAUACUGGACCAAGAACUUCAAGUCUAAGGACUAAUCCGGAUUAAUCUCAUAAGAUGGAAAUGAUUUGAGAUAGCGAUCAAGUAUGGAUUCAUUUUGUGCCGUAUCUUCCUCUUCUAGGGAAGUGAAUCCGACGAACCGAGUUAUCUGUCGUGCUCUAGGCCAAGACAAAUUGAUUGGCUAUCCGCGUGUGUACCGGACCGUCCAACAGAGGCGUCUAAACCAUCCAAUAAGGGAUGUUGACUCGACGUCCGUUGAGUACGUCUAUCCUUGUAGGCAUGUUUGCAGCUGGUAUAUGAUCUCGUAACUUUAGCUAAAUCAGAGGAAUGCGUUUUGAGCAACAUUCUAAAAGCUAGAAUUUAUCGCACUUGCUUAUCACACUUGUGCGGUAUGGGUAUCGAGAUGUGACAUAGUGGGCAAUGUCCACACAAAUUCAAGCUGUUAUCUAGGAACAUUGACGUUCUUAUCUCCCCCUAACAGCGGGAAGACUGUCUCAUUAAAUUGAAAACCCACAAAUAAGUGGUAAAGAGAUCGCAUGCAAGGGCUCUAAGAGUGCUAGUGUGAAAAAGAAUCAUAAUCGACAAAAGAAACAUAUCCUUCUUUGAGGACCCAUGUUGGUACGUUGUGGUGGCGUAACUUGGCGCAUGAAAUGCACACCCAAAUGCGUAAAUACGAAAAUCGUUAGGUUCGUAUCUAGUAACCAAUAACGUCAAAUAGGUUGGGUGGCAAUGGGCCUCAAGGCGGACCAACAUAACUGCGUACAAGAUUGCAUAGCCCUAGGCAAAAACCAAAAACUUGGUACGUUCACCAAAAUUCGGGUGAUCAUUUAAAUUGCACUUUAUGAUCACUAAGCGAGGCUAUUUGGGGUGAAUAUGGAAAUUCGAUGUUCAAUUAUAAACCUAAAAUACAUGCAAUACUUUAUCGAAAACUGUCGAUAUAAACUCUUCGGCAUUAUCCAGUCUCCCGGACCUUAAGGGAUAAGUAGGGUGGUGAGCCUUUAAUCGGCCAUGAGGUUUAGCAGCAAUGUGUGUGGACAAACAUGUGAUCAGUUUAUCAAUUCAUCAACCAAAAUCAUAAGUAUUUAUAUGGUCCACAUUUUGGUUGGAUUAGUCUACAUAUGUUCCUUUGAAUCCACUGUGAAAAGAUAGUCGUUUCGUAUCUUUGCAAUGGAUGAUUUAGAAAAUCAAUUUCCCUAAUGAGCAGGCUUGACAAAGUAUGCUUGUAGGCACAAGAUUGUUACUUCAGGUAAGGAGAUGCGUUGUAGCAUCAUUGUUCGACCUAAGUGUCCCAAAAAGGUCGUGCUAAAUCAAGUAAACUGCUAAAUCACUAAGCUCCAGGUCGGCCACAUGUGGUGUGUUCCCAGUUAGGAGACAACCCAUUGGCCUCAAAUCAAAGCUUCAGGCUCAUUUUUGGAGGUGGUGCAAAGAUAUUCCACUAUAUUUUCAUAAGUGGUUUCAUUUAUGAUCAUUGUUCUCUAGAAUAUCCUUAAAAACUCAACAAAAGGGAGAAUUUAGGGUCCCUUAAAUGGUAAUUCGAUACCAUUCUUAUAACGAGUAGCGUGUCGAUGCUUUUAAUCAGGUUGGAUAUACUUGAAGUCAUUGUUAGAGAUGUGAUUUAGGUGUAAAGUUAGUGUGCGUACUAUUGCAUUCAUUCAGACAACUAACUUUCCCACAUUCCUACCUAAUCACGUGUUUAAUUGAAUUGGUCACAUGUAUUAAGAAACAUGAUUCAAUUAACUCACAUUCGAGGACAAUAUCAAUAAGAUUAUCCAUAAGUAAAACAUACACCAAACUUGAAUAUAAGAACAUGGAAAAAUGUUCACAAAGUAAAUGGUUUACUGAGGGGAUUCGGCCAACAAGGCCAUCCAUGUCAAAAUUUUGCUCUUCCAAUGAUGUUCGGUGGAGCAAAAUUAAUCUCACAUAUUGACUACGAGAAUGGUACUCUCAACAACAUUGGUAGGGGCACAGACAGGUGCAUAAUCAAUGAUCUAUUCCAUCGAGACGGAAAUAGAUUCUACAGGGUUGAGGUUUGAGAAUAUUAUCCCUUAUUCUUGAAGUUUUAGGUCUUAAGUACGAAUGAUCACGCAUCAGGCAUGAUGCCACACCUUGGCAGGCCUUGAUUCUACCAUAUGUUGUAAAAACAAAAUUGAAAUUGGAUUGUGAUUGGGUUCGGUAGGCUCAAGCCGGUGACCUUUACCGAAGCAGAGCAUACCUUUCGGUACAUCAUUGCCGAAGCAGGGCAUCACCGUUUGGUAGGCUUUGACCGAACUGGGUCGAGCCAUUUUGGUAGACUCUAGCCGAACUGAGUCUAUACCUUUCUCUCACAUUUGUGGUAGUAAUCAGAUUUAAGAAUUUGAUAAACUUCCGCUUUCUACAUUACUGCUUUAGGGGUGAAUUAGAAACAAAGAAGGAUGAGAAAAACUUUCUUUAGUCAAAAUUCGAUCAGAUUUAUAAACUUCAGAAUUGUAUUUAUUCAUGGAUGUAAUCAUGGUGUGCUUCAGGCAAUGUCUUUCAUGAUUAGAUAGUCCGCAGGAACGAGUCAAAGAGCCAUGGAAUACUCGUUCGGGUGGUACUUCAGUUUGUAAUGCUUUGGGCAUAAGUCUUCGAAUAAAGAUCAUGGUAGAUGCUUAUUCAGCUCUUCCAUGCCAUUGUUGGCGUCAGUGGUUUCUCAGCUUCUUGAUAGUCAAGUGGAGAUUCACGUCUUGUACCCCACAUAAAGUGGUUUCUAUUAGAAACGUCCAAAUUAGAGAAAUCGAACUUGUGACGGUCAACAAUCCAUUGAAUUGGAGGGAACAAGAUUGUGAUUGGUAUUAUGGGAAUGAAUCAUCCAUAAGCAUCAAAGUUAGAACAUUCGAGUUCUAAGACAUGGUUUUCAUGAGUGUAUUGUUUUAUGAAAACUUUCGGGUUUCAAAGGCACUAAAUUUGAAAUUACGGGUUCAAUUUUAGUAUAUGAACGUUUAGUUCGUAAAAGAGAGGUUCCUGCAAGAACACAUAAUGAAAUAUACAACUAAGUGUAGUGGAUUUGAGUUGCUUCGGGAACUCAAGUGUGAGAGCUUAGUUACUACGAAAGUAUGUCAACGGUUCAAAGUAUAAAAAUAAAUUAUUGAAUCAUUAAUGUCCAAAAGUGAUCUUCAGGUCAAUAAAUUUGGAUUCAUUAUUAGAUUAAUGGACUGCAGGUCACUUUUAAUUAAUUCAAUAAAUCAGGGCAUAGGGGUCGAUUGUAGAAGCUAAAUAAUAUUAAAAUAAUAUUAUUGGGUCGAAAAUACCAUAGCCUAAAAAUUGGGCUGGGUGCCGUGAGCAAAAGGCUCGGGUGUGGCUGCAAUAGUAGCCUAUGGGAUGGCUUCAGGCCACAUGCCUAGGGUUUUGAAGUCCAGCAACAAAUGCUGGCUUAAUUAGGGUCGAUGGAGGGUACGGGUUAGGCUUAGUAGAUUGCUGGCCUUGGGUUUGCAUGGGAAGGCAAGCUCAGCGAGGCUGGCUUGCAAGCUUUUGGGUCACAUGAGGCCCAACCACAGGCUAGGGCCGAGUUAUUGGGCUGCGGCACAAGCCCAACAACCAAAAAGGUUGUGGCAUAGGGCCGGGGUGAGGCAAGGGCCUAGUAGUA
RNAcentral lists this long non-coding RNA (6541 nucleotides) under Malus domestica (apple). RNAcentral's name for it is "long non-coding RNA (MDOM_LNC010872)". Lineage: Eukaryota; Viridiplantae; Streptophyta; Magnoliopsida; Rosales; Rosaceae. The record is from RNAcentral.